RNAcentral lists this ribosomal RNA (489 nucleotides) under Acinetobacter baumannii. RNAcentral's name for it is "bacterial SSU rRNA". It matches the Rfam family "Bacterial small subunit ribosomal RNA", at positions 12 to 496 of the family's 1533-position model. The record is from RNAcentral. Lineage: Bacteria; Pseudomonadati; Pseudomonadota; Gammaproteobacteria; Moraxellales; Moraxellaceae.
UUUGAUCAUGGCUCAGAUUGAACGCUGGCGGCAGGCUUAACACAUGCAAGUCGAGCGGGGGAAGGUAGCUUGCUACUGGACCUAGCGGCGGACGGGUGAGUAAUGCUUAGGAAUCUGCCUAUUAGUGGGGGACAACAUCUCGAAAGGGAUGCUAAUACCGCAUACGUCCUACGGGAGAAAGCAGGGGAUCUUCGGACCUUGCGCUAAUAGAUGAGCCUAAGUCGGAUUAGCUAGUUGGUGGGGUAAAGGCCUACCAAGGCGACGAUCUGUAGCGGGUCUGAGAGGAUGAUCCGCCACACUGGGACUGAGACACGGCCCAGACUCCUACGGGAGGCAGCAGUGGGGAAUAUUGGACAAUGGGGGGAACCCUGAUCCAGCCAUGCCGCGUGUGUGAAGAAGGCCUUAUGGUUGUAAAGCACUUUAAGCGAGGAGGAGGCUACUUUAGUUAAUACCUAGAGAUAGUGGACGUACUCGCAGAAUAAGCACCGG